UACGUAGGGUGCAAGCGUUAAUCGGAAUUACUGGGCGUAAAGCGUGCGCAGGCGGUUAUGCAAGACAGAUGUGAAAUCCCCGGGCUUAACCUGGGAACCGCAUUUGUGACUGCAUAGCUGGAGUACGGCAGGGGGGGAUGGAAUUCCGCGUGUAGCAGUGAAAUGCGUAGAUAUGCGGAGGAACACCGAUGGCGAAGGCAGUCCCCUGGGCCUGUACUGACGCUCAUGCACGAAAGCGUGGGGAGCAAACAGG
RNAcentral lists this ribosomal RNA (253 nucleotides) under uncultured bacterium. Its description in RNAcentral is "partial 16S ribosomal RNA". It matches the Rfam family "Bacterial small subunit ribosomal RNA", at positions 524 to 776 of the family's 1533-position model. The record is from RNAcentral.